UACAGAGGUGGCAAGCGUUGUUCGGAAUUACUGGGCGUAAAGGGCGCGUAGGCGGCCUUCUAAGUCAGACGUGAAAUCCCCCGGCUUAACCUGGGAACUGCGUCUGAUACUGGGAGGCUUGAGUAUGGGAGAGGGAUGUAGAAUUCCAGGUGUAGCGGUGAAAUGCGUAGAUAUCUGGAGGAAUACCGGUGGCGAAGGCGGCAUCCUGGACCAUAACUGACGCUGAUGCGCGAAAGCUAGGGGAGCAAACGGG
Molecule: ribosomal RNA, 253 nt
Filed under: uncultured bacterium
Lineage: Bacteria
Description: partial 16S ribosomal RNA
Rfam family: Bacterial small subunit ribosomal RNA
Source: RNAcentral